UCUGGGACAAGCCCUGGAAACGGGGUCUAAUACCGGAUACCACUCCUGCCUGCAUGGGCGGGGGUUGAAAGCUCCGGCGGUGAAGGAUGAGCCCGCGGCCUAUCAGCUUGUUGGUGGGGUGAUGGCCUACCAAGGCGACGACGGGUAGCCGGCCUGAGAGGGCGACCGGCCACACUGGGACUGAGACACGGCCCAGACUCCUACGGGAGGCAGCAGUGGGGAAUAUUGCACAAUGGGCGAAAGCCUGAUGCAGCGACGCCGCGUGAGGGAUGACGGCCUUCGGGUUGUAAACCUCUUUCAGCAGGGAAGAAGCGAGAGUGACGGUACCUGCAGAAGAAGCGCCGGCUAACUACGUGCCAGCAGCCGCGGUAAUACGUAGGGCGCAAGCGUUGUCCGGAAUUAUUGGGCGUAAAGAGCUCGUAGGCGGCUUGUCGCGUCGGAUGUGAAAGCCCGGGGCUUAACCCCGGGUCUGCAUUCGAUACGGGCAGGCUAGAGUGUGGUAGGGGAGAUCGGAAUUCCUGGUGUAGCGGUGAAAUGCGCAGAUAUCAGGAGGAACACCGGUGGCGAAGGCGGAUCUCUGGGCCAUUACUGACGCUGAGGAGCGAAAGCGUGGGGAGCGAACAGGAUUAGAUACCCUGGUAGUCCACGCCGUAAACGUUGGGAACUAGGUGUUGGCGACAUUCCACGUCGUCGGUGCCGCAGCUAACGCAUUAAGUUCCCCGCCUGG
RNAcentral lists this ribosomal RNA (727 nucleotides) under Streptomyces sp. RNAcentral describes it as "bacterial SSU rRNA". It matches the Rfam family "Bacterial small subunit ribosomal RNA", at positions 137 to 876 of the family's 1533-position model. Lineage: Bacteria; Bacillati; Actinomycetota; Actinomycetes; Kitasatosporales; Streptomycetaceae. The record is from RNAcentral.